This 72-nucleotide transfer RNA is filed under the name Gemmata obscuriglobus. It matches the Rfam family "tRNA". Rfam says of the family: Transfer RNA (tRNA) molecules are approximately 80 nucleotides in length. Their secondary structure includes four short double-helical elements and three loops (D, anti-codon, and T loops). The record is from Rfam by way of RNAcentral. RNAcentral also lists the same sequence under 2 other names. Lineage: Bacteria; Pseudomonadati; Planctomycetota; Planctomycetia; Gemmatales; Gemmataceae.
CCUGGGGUAGCUCAGUGGUAGAGCGGCCGGCUCUGGACCGGCUGGACGCAGGUUCGAGCCCUGUCCCCAGGU